This is a long non-coding RNA of Coffea arabica (coffee), 1827 nucleotides long. RefSeq lists it as uncharacterized. The record is from RefSeq and is a predicted model, not a curated record. Lineage: Eukaryota; Viridiplantae; Streptophyta; Magnoliopsida; Gentianales; Rubiaceae.
GACAACUAAUGAACAAUCAAUUAUUACUUUGCCCAUGACUACUGCUUCAAAAGACCAAAAAAUAGAAAUAAAGUAUCAAACUCUUUGUUUCUGAAGCAUUUCUUCUCCCCUCUUUCAAUUUGUUGUUCUGUGUUUUGCCUUUUCCUUUCCCUCCGUAUUAAUCUCCAUAUCAACCUCUGUCAAUUUUUCUCUUCUUCCCUCUUAACAUUUUCCAAUUUUCCUUCGACGAAUUUCACUUUGACUUGAGCUGAAACCAUUGCAAUGGGCGUUUGGAAAUUUUGUUUAAUCUGAGAAUUUUCCAGAAUCUGGAUAAGGAUCGAGAUUCUUCAGAUUGAACAGGACAAAUUAAAGUGCUGGAAUUUCAUAUACUUGGGUGGUCAUCCCGACUCAUAUCUAACUACCUAAGAGAGUUCUGUACUGGCACUUGCAAGGAGAAACAAAGAUAGUAGGACAAAAUUGUAUUUUCCUCGUAGGACGGGAAGGACUAGCUUCAAGAAUAUAAACAGAAAGUGGCCUAGAUGGAAGUCGAAGGUAUGGAUACAUCUCUUGUGAGCCUUUUUUGUGUUACAUGUGAGCCUGCCAAAGAUGAAGAUACACGUAAUCUAAUUACACAACUUAAAGACAGCUUGUAUCAAGUGCUUGAGGAAGAGCAAACUGAGACAUUCAAGAACAAUGUGUGGGUUGAGCAUAGGGGGCUGGACACACGAGGUUACGUUAGACGCAUGGGGAAGUAUACCUCUGUGACCCAAAGGCAUGUACCAAUGAAUGAUAGGAAGGCGAUUAUUCAAGAAAUCAAAAAUCAGAUUGUUGAGGAGGUACGAGAGGAAGUAUUAUAGCAAGUUAGAGGAAUGACACCGCAUCAAUCGAGAGAAGAGAUAAGAGCAGAUUUUAGUGCACAGUUUGAGUAUAUGCAGAAAACCAUUAGUUUCUUAAUGUCACAUUUGGAUGUCAAUGCCUUACACAUGUUUCCAGAUUGGAUUUUUGGUGCUUUUCCUAGUCGACAGGGUCCAGCUGAGUCUACUAAUUAAGGAGGAUUAAACUUGUGAUAGAUUUGGUAAGUACUUUUGGCUUUUCUCUUCCCUUCUUCAUGACUUUGUUGCUGAAACUUGCAUAGAGUAUUGGGUGAACGAAUGAGUAGUUGAUCAUUCCAAUGUGGCAAUCGCAUUGUUUAUAUGCUCUUCGCAUAAAAAGAGCAUUUCAGAGCUUUGAGUUGAUGCAAAUCACAAAUAGAUUCCUGGGAAAUCCCUCAUGAUUUUUGAAGCCUUUUUUAGUUUCACAAAUUACUAGUUUUUGUAUAUCAGGAAAGCCGUUAAAGACCUCCCUGUUGCAACUUGCUGUUCUGAUUGCUGCAAGUGUUUGAAGAUUAUGUAAAACCAAUGAUUUCCUUGCAUGUUAUCUUCUACUUUCUCAAGAUCAGGCAAAUAACUAGCUGCACUCAAUUUGAGAUGCCUUAACUGAGACAUCAGCCAAAUCUCUAGCAGCAAAGUUGGGUACUUUUUCAAUAUCUUGCUUGUCCAAGGACCAUAGACUAUGAUUCUCUACAGAUUCCAGUGAGUGCAGAGUACCUCAAGUUUAUCAGCUUCAAGAACACGUGAAGCAAAUGAAAGAUUAUAACUUUUUGAGUGAUUGUUAGACUAGCUUCCUCAAUGAUAACUAAUGCAGCGCAUGUUGCCUGUGUCGUUUGGAGAAACAGUGAUUGUUUGACUUUUGAGUGUUUGCUUUGUUAUGAUAUGUAUAGUUUGUUUCAUUAUGGUAGACCAGCCAUAAAUUUUGCUGUAAAUAAAUUUUGUCUUUUUCUUUGUCCAUCACGUGAGACUUAUGAAUGAA